RNAcentral lists this long non-coding RNA (1294 nucleotides) under Astyanax mexicanus (Mexican tetra). Its description in RNAcentral is "lncRNA (ENSAMXG00005018363.1)". Lineage: Eukaryota; Metazoa; Chordata; Actinopteri; Characiformes; Acestrorhamphidae. The record is from RNAcentral.
GUGAGGAAAGCUUUACAGAUCUCCACGUCUCUAAAAGCAAAACGAGAGAAUGAAUAAAGUCAGACAGGAGUUCUCUCUCACACUCUCUCUUUUAGUGUCUCACUCUUUCAUUGUAUCUCUAUCACUCUCUCUCUCACUCUCUGUGUAUCUUUCACUCUCAAUCCCUCUCUUUCAGUGUAUCACUCUCACUCACAUUCUUUCAGUAUAUCUCCAUCUCUCUUUUUAGUGUAUCUCUCUCACUCAUUCACUCUCUCUUUCAGUGUAUCUCUUUAAUGUUCUCUCUCACUCUCUUUCAGUUUAUCUGUAUCACUCUUUUUUAGUUUAUCUCUCUCACUCUCUCAGUGUAUCUCUUUCACUUUCUCUUAGUGUCUCUCUCACUUUCUCUGUUUAUCUUUUUCUCUUUCAAUUCAAUCUGUCUCACUCUCUCUUCCAGUUUAUCUCUCACUCUCAGUUGUUCAUUUUCCCUUUUAGUUUAUCUUUCUCAUUCUCUUUUUCAGUGUCUCACUCUCUGUGUAUCUCUCACUCUCUCUGUGUAUCUUUCACUCAAUCACUCUCUCUCUCUUUCAGUGUAUCUCUCACUCUCUCAGUGUAUCACUCUUACUCUCACUCAUUCUUUCAGUGUAUCUCCCUCACUCAUUCACUCUCUCUUUCAGUGUAUCUCUCACUCUCUCAGUGUAUCACUCUUACUCUCACUCAUUCUUUCAGUGUAUCUCCCUCACUCAUUCACUCUCUCUUUCAGUGUAUCUCUUUCACUUUCUCUCUCUCAGUUUAUCUUUCUCACUUAUUCUCACAGUUAAUCUCUCUCACUCUUUUUAGCUUAUCUCUCUCUCUCUCGUGUCUCUCUCACUUUCUCUGUUUAUCUCUUUCUCUUUCAGUUGAUCUCUCUCACUUUCUCUUUCAGUUUAUCUCUCUCCCUUUCAGUUUAUCUUUCACACUCUCCUUUUCAGUGUAUCACUCUUUGUGUAUCUCUCACUCUGUCUCUCUCACACUCUCACUCACAAUCACUGUCACACUCUCUGUGUAUCUCUCACUCUCAAUCACUCACUCUCUUUCAGUGUAUCUCUCUCACUCAUUCUCUCUCUCUUUCAGUUUAUCUCUCUCCUUGAUUUCAGGGAUGGAAAGCUGAAUUUUGAACACAGUAAAUUGGUUUUAGGUAUUAAGGCUUGUGUAAAUUGUACUGCAGCUGAUUGUUUGACUCAGUUUCCUUUUCCAGAGCUGUUUAUUAACCCAUGAGUUUCUGAGGCUGAGUGCAGUGAUAUACACCUUCUCUCUGAGGAAAGUUUCUAGAAGUUAG